UACAAACAGAAACGAAGCAGCAGCAGCAG
This 29-nucleotide non-coding RNA is filed under the name Mus musculus (house mouse). The record is from RNAcentral. Lineage: Eukaryota; Metazoa; Chordata; Mammalia; Rodentia; Muridae.